This 253-nucleotide ribosomal RNA is filed under the name uncultured bacterium. RNAcentral describes it as "partial 16S ribosomal RNA". It matches the Rfam family "Bacterial small subunit ribosomal RNA", at positions 524 to 776 of the family's 1533-position model. The record is from RNAcentral.
UACGAAGGGGGCUAGCGUUGUUCGGAUUUACUGGGCGUAAAGCGCACGUAGGCGGAUACUUAAGUUAGGGGUGAAAUCCCAGGGCUCAACCCUGGAACUGCCUCUAAUACUGGGUAUCUCGAGUCCGAGAGAGGUGAGUGGAAUUCCGAGUGUAGAGGUGAAAUUCGUAGAUAUUCGGAGGAACACCAGUGGCGAAGGCGGCUCACUGGCUCGGUACUGACGCUGAGGUGCGAAAGCGUGGGGAGCAAACAGG